This 222-nucleotide long non-coding RNA is filed under the name Mytilus galloprovincialis (Mediterranean mussel). The record is from RNAcentral. Lineage: Eukaryota; Metazoa; Mollusca; Bivalvia; Mytilida; Mytilidae.
UGGGGCCAACACGUAUUGAUUUUUUUGGAACAAUUUUUGUACCAUAUGAUAAAGUAACAACUACUUAAGGUAAUUAAUAAAAUUUGUAAUGAAAAAUAAAUGUUCAAUUUUUUCUGAAAAUCUUAUACCCGCGAGCCUCCUUAAUAGUUACUUCCAAAUAAAACAUGGGGAAUGUGUCCAAAGGGACACAGAUGAUGCCCCCGCUAGCAUAUAACGAUAUAA